Molecule: non-coding RNA, 157 nt
Organism: Paramuricea clavata
Lineage: Eukaryota; Metazoa; Cnidaria; Anthozoa; Malacalcyonacea; Plexauridae
Source: the annotation of a GenBank genome assembly
UUGCAACUUGCAAUGCAAUUCUACUCUUGAGAGAUGUUAAUUAGUAAAAUCUGUGAAGAAUUUUCGAUAUGUUGAGAAAACAUCAGCGGAGUGUAGUGAAAACUUGUAUUUGGUAAUUUUACAUCUCUCAAGAGUAGAAUUGCCUUGCAAGUUGGAA